GAUGAACGCUGGCGGCGUGCCUAAUACAUGCAAGUCGAGCGAACGGACGAGAAGCUUGCUUCUCUGAUGUUAGCGGCGGACGGGUGAGUAACACGUGGAUAACCUACCUAUAAGACUGGGAUAACUUCGUGAAACCGGAGCUAAUACCGUAUGAUAUUUUGAACCGCAUGGUUCAAAAGUGAAAGACGGUCUUUCUGUCACUUAUAGAUGGAUCCGCGCUGCAUUAGCUAGUUGGUAAGGUAACGGCUUACCAAGGCAACGAUGCAUAGCCGACCUGAGAGGGUGAUCGGCCACACUGGAACUGAGACACGGUCCAGACUCCUACGGGAGGCAGCAGUAGGGAAUCUUCCGCAAUGGGCGAAAGCCUGACGGAGCAACGCCGCGUGAGUGAUGAAGGUCUUCGGAUCGUAAAACUCUGUUAUUAGGGAAGAACAUAUGUGUAAGUAACUGUGCACAUCUUGACGGUACCUAAUCAGAAAGCCACGGCUAACUACGUG
This 497-nucleotide ribosomal RNA is filed under the name uncultured bacterium. Its description in RNAcentral is "partial 16S ribosomal RNA". It matches the Rfam family "Bacterial small subunit ribosomal RNA", at positions 28 to 507 of the family's 1533-position model. The record is from RNAcentral.